This 241-nucleotide ribosomal RNA is filed under the name uncultured bacterium. Its description in RNAcentral is "partial 16S ribosomal RNA". It matches the Rfam family "Bacterial small subunit ribosomal RNA", at positions 92 to 334 of the family's 1533-position model. The record is from RNAcentral.
CGACCGGCGCACGGGUGAGUAACACGUAUGCAACCUACCUUUAACAGGGGGAUAACACUGAGAAAUUGGUACUAAUACCCCAUAAUAUCAUAGAAGGCAUCUUUUAUGGUUGAAAAUUCCGAUGGUUAGAGAUGGGCAUGCGUUGUAUUAGCUAGUUGGUGGGGUAACGGCUCACCAAGGCGACGAUACAUAGGGGGACUGAGAGGUUAACCCCCCACACUGGUACUGAGACACGGACCAG